Long non-coding RNA from Mytilus californianus (California mussel), 3367 nucleotides. RefSeq lists it as uncharacterized. Lineage: Eukaryota; Metazoa; Mollusca; Bivalvia; Mytilida; Mytilidae. The record is from RefSeq and is a predicted model, not a curated record. The transcript has 2 exons.
UUUGGUCUUUUUUUCUAAUACUAUAUGCAAUAGGUCAACUAUAUUUGUUGUAUGGAAGAAUUGUUAGCUGUACAUGUCUGCCUGGCAUGGUUCAUCUGACCUUGACCUCAUUUUCAUGGUUCAUUGGUCAAUGUUUAGUUUUCUUGGUUAAUGUUAAGUUUAUGUGACAGUUGUAAUAAAGCUUUAUAUUAAGGACUAUCAACAUGAUAUCAGUGAUUAGUAAAGAAGGCGAGACAUUUCAGCGUGUGCACUCUUGUUGGACAACAACUCAAAAAUGCUUUAAGCAGUUCGCAUGAAACUUUGGUGAAUUAUUUAUAGCUAUUGAUGUAAUCUCCCUAUAGAUUUUCAUAAAUUUCAAAUAUGACAUUGAGAAGAAAUUGAACUUUAUUUGUUUAUAGUCUGGCAACAGAUUCAUUAAGUAUUGCGCAACAGCACAGUGUAUUGCACAACAGCAAGAAAUCUUUAAUUGAAUAUAAAUUCAAUUCAUAUAACCGAUUUCAAGUUCUUUGACUACAUUUAGUCAGAAACUAUAAUAUGUCAAAUAUUUAAUUACAAUCCAAAUUCAGACCUGUAUCAAGCUUGAAUAUUGUGUCCAUUUUUGCCCCAACUGUUCAGGGUUGGACCUCUGCGGGUGUAUCCAGCUGCGCUCAGCGAAUCAGUUUAUUUCUUAAUUAAGAACUCCUUUUUAUACGACCGCAAAAAUUAAAAAAAUUUUGGUCGUAUAUUGGUAUGACGUUGGCGUCGUCGUCGUCCGGCGUCGUCCAAAGACACAUUGGUUUUCGCACUCUAACUUUAGUUUAAGUGAAUGGAUCUCCAUGAAAUUUAACCAUAAGGUUCAAUACCACGAAAGGAAGGUUGGGAUUGAUUUUGGGGGUUAUGGUACCAACAGUUAAGGAAAAAGGGGCCAAAAAUAAGCAUUUUUGUAACUUCCAGACAAUAACUUGUGUGUAAGUGUAUGGAUCUCUCUGACAUUGUACCACAAGGUUCCAUAUCACAAAGGGAAGGCUGGAAUUGAUUUUGGGGGUAAUUGCCUCAAAAUGAUAGGAAUUAGGGGCCAAAAAAGGGGCAAAAAACAAGCAUUUUUCUUGUUUCAUGACAAUAACUUGUGUGUAAGUGUUUGGAUAUUUCUGAAAUUGUACUACAAGGUUCCAUAUCACAAAGGGAAAGAUGGAAUUGAGUUUGGGGGUAAUUGCCCGAAACGUUUAGGAAUUGGGGGCUAAAAAGGGGCCAAAAAUAAGCAUUUUUCUAGUUUCCAGACAAUAACUUGUGUUCAAGUGUAUGGAUCUCUCUGAAAUUGUACUGCAAGGUACCAUACCACAAAGGGAAGGCUGAGAUUGAGUUUGGGGGUGAUGAAUCAUAAGGGGGUUCAAAAAAUUUUGGGGGGGAUUUUUUUUUUUCUUUUUUUCCUUUUUUUUUUCUUUUAAAAUUUAAAAUUUUAAUUUGGUUAUUUCUGAUUUAUAUUUAAAAGCAAAUAAUAAUGAUAUGGUAGGAGAUACACACCAAACAGGAUGUGUAAAUUAUUAUAUAAUAAGUAUUGUGCAAUAUCAAGAAAUUUUCAAUUGCACAGUAUUGCACAAUAGCAAGAAAUCUUCAAUUGCACAGUAUUGCGCAAUAGCAAGAAAUCUUCAAUUGCACAGUAUUGCGCAAUAGCAAGAAAUAUCCAAUAGCACAAUAUUGCGCAAUAGCAAGAAAUUGUCAAUUGUACAGUAUUGCCCAAUAGCAAGAAAUAAUCAAUUGCACAGUAUUGUGCAAAAGAAGAUACUUCGUAUAAAUUGCUUAUUUCUUGAUCAAUUUCGAUGGGGUUUUAUUCUUGAAUUCUUGGGGUUCUUUAAUAUGCUGAAUCUAACCGUGUAUUAAGUUUUUGGAUUUAAGGCCCCGUUUUUAAAUUGGUCCACAUUGAGGUCCAAAGGGUCCAAAAUUUAACUUUGUUUGAUUUCAUCAAAAAUUGAAUUAUUGGGGUUCUUUGAUAUGCCGAAUCUAACCAUGUAUUUAGAUUCUUAAUUUUUGGUUCUGUUUUCAAAUUGGUCUACAUAAAGGUCCAAAGGGUCCAAAAUUAAACUUAGUUUGAUCUAAAAAAAAAUUGAAUAUAUGGGGUUCUUUGAUAUGCUGAAUCUAACCAUGUAUUUAGAUUUUUGAUUAUGGGCCCAGUUUUCAAGUUGGUCCAAAUCGGGGUCCAAAAUUAAACUUUGUUUGAUUUCAACAAAAAUUGAAUAUAUGGGGUUCUUUGAUAUGCUGAAUCUAACCAUGUAUUUAGAUUUUUGAUUAUGGGCCCAGUUUUCAAGUUGGUCCAAAUCGGGGUCCAAAAUUAAACUUUGUUUGAUUUCAACAAAAAUUGAAUAUAUGGGGUUCUUUGAUAUGCUGAAUCUAACCAUGUAUUUAGAUUUUUGAUUGUUGGGCCCCGUUAUCAACUUUGUCCACAUUGAGAUCAAAAGGGUCCAAAAUUAAACUUUGUUUGAUUUCAUCAAAAAUUGAAUAUAUGGGGUUCUUUGAUAUGCUGAAUCUAACCAUGUAUUUAGAUUUUUGAUUAUGGGCCGUUUUCAAGUUGGUCCAAAUCGGGGUCCAAAAUUAAACUUUGUUUGAUUUCAACAAAAAUUGAAUAUAUGGGGUUCUUUGAUAUGCUGAAUCUAACCAUGUAUUUAGAUUUUUGAUUAUGGGCCCAGUUUUCAAGUUGGUCCAAAUCGGGGUCCAAAAUUAAACUUUGUUUGAUUUCAACAAAAAUUGAAUAUAUGGGGUUCUGUAAUAUGCUGAAUCUAACCGUGUAUUAAGUUUUUGGAUUUUGGGCCCCGUUUUUAAAUUGGUCCACAUUGAAGUCCAAAGGGUCCAAAAUUUAACUUUGUUUGAUUUCAACAAAAAUUGAAUUAUUGGGGUUCUUUGAUAUGCCGAAUCUAACCGUGUAUUUAGAUUCUUAAUUUUUGGUUCCGUUUUCAAAUUGGUCUACAUAAAGGUCCAAAGGGUCCAAAAUUAAACUUAGUUUGAUUUUAACAAAAAUUGAAUUUUUAGGGUUCUUUGAUAUGCUGAAUCUAAACAUGUAUUUAGAUUUUUGAUUAUGGGCCCAGUUUUCAAGUUGGUCCAAAUCGGGGUCCAAAAUUAAACUUUGCUUGAUUUCAACAAAAAUUGAAUAUAUGGGGUUCUUUGAUAUGCUGAAUCUUACCAUGUAUUUAGAUUUUUGAUUUUUGGGCCCUGUUAUCAUUUUUGUCCACAUUGAGAUCAAAAGGGUCCAAAAUUAAACUUAGUUUGAUCUAAAAAAAAAUUGAAUAUAUGGGGUUCUUUGAUAUGCUGAAUCUAACCAUGUAUUUAGAUUUUUGAUUAUGGGCCCAGUUUUCAAGUUGGUCCAAAUCGGGGUCCAAAAUUAAACUUUGUUUGAUUU